This 253-nucleotide ribosomal RNA is filed under the name uncultured bacterium. RNAcentral describes it as "partial 16S ribosomal RNA". It matches the Rfam family "Bacterial small subunit ribosomal RNA", at positions 524 to 776 of the family's 1533-position model. The record is from RNAcentral.
UACGUAGGGGGCAAGCGUUGUCCGGAUUUAUUGGGCGUAAAGCGCGUGUAGGCGGCUUUGCAAGUCGGGUGUGAAAGCCCUCAGCUUAACUGAGGAAGUGCGCCCGAAACUGCAUGGCUUGAGUACCGGAGAGGGUGGCGGAAUUCCCCAAGUAGAGGUGAAAUUCGUAGAUAUGGGGAGGAACACCAGUGGCGAAGGCGGCCACCUGGACGGAUACUGACGCUGAGACGCGAAAGCGUGGGUAGCAAACAGG